AGAUUAAGUUAUUAAGGGCGCACGGUGGAUGCCUUGGCACUAGAAGCCGAAGAAGGACGUUACUAACGACGAUAUGCUUUGGGGAGCUGUAAGUAAGCGUUGAUCCAGAGAUUUCCGAAUGGGGAAACCCAACAUGAGUUAUGUCAUGUUAUCGAUAUGUGAAUACAUAGCAUAUCAGAAGGCAGACCCGGAGAACUGAAACAUCUUAGUACCCGGAGGAAGAGAAAGAAAAAUCGAUUCCCUGAGUAGCGGCGAGCGAAACGGGAAGAGCCCAAACCAANUUGGGGUUGUAGGACACUCUAUACGGAGUUACAAAAGUAUAUAUUAGACGAAUCAUCUGGAAAGUUGAAUCAAAGAAGGUAAUAAUCCUGUAGUCGAAAAUAUAUACUCUCUUGAGUGGAUCCUGAGUACGACGGAGCACGUGAAAUUCCGUCGGAAUCUGGGAGGACCAUCUCCUAAGGCUAAAUACUCUCUAGUGACCGAUAGUGAACCAGUACCGUGAGGGAAAGGUGAAAAGUACCCCGGAAGGGGAGUGAAAGAGAACUUGAAACCGUGUGCUUACAAGUAGUCAGAGCCCGUUAAUGGGUGAUGGCGUGCCUUUUGUAGAAUGAACCGGCGAGUUACGAUUUGAUGCAAGGUUAAGCAGUGAAUGUGGAGCCGUAGCGAAAGCGAGUCUGAAUAGGGCGUUGAGUAUUUGGUCGUAGACCCGAAACCAGGUGAUCUACCCUUGGUCAGGUUGAAGUUCAGGUAACACUGAAUGGAGGACCGAACCGACUUACGUUGAAAAGUGAGCGGAUGAACUGAGGGUAGCGGAGAAAUUCCAAUCGAACCUGGAGAUAGCUGGUUCUCUCCGAAAUAGCUUUAGGGCUAGCCUCAAGUGAUGAUUAUUGGAGGUAGAGCACUGUUUGGACGAGGGGCCCUUCUCGGGUUACCGAAUUCAGACAAACUCCGAAUGCCAAUCAAUUUAACUUGGGAGUCAGAACAUGGGUGAUAAGGUCCGUGUUCGAAAGGGAAACAGCCCAGACCACCAGCUAAGGUCCCAAAAUAUAUGUUAAGUGGAAAAGGAUGUGGCGUUGCCCAGACAACUAGGAUGUUGGCUUAGAAGCAGCCAUCAUUUAAAGAGUGCGUAAUAGCUCACUAGUCGAGUGACACUGCGCCGAAAAUGUACCGGGGCUAAACAUAUUACCGAAGCUGUGGAUUGUCCGUAGGACAAUGGUAGGAGAGCGUUCUAAGGGCGUUGAAGCAUGAUCGCAAGGACAUGUGGAGCGCUUAGAAGUGAGAAUGCCGGUGUGAGUAGCGAAAGACGGGUGAGAAUCCCGUCCACCGAUUGACUAAGGUUUCCAGAGGAAGGCUCGUCCGCUCUGGGUUAGUCGGGUCCUAAGCUGAGGCCGACAGGCGUAGGCGAUGGAUAACAGGUUGAUAUUCCUGUACCACCUAGUAUCGUUUUAAUCGAUGGGGGGACGCAGUAGGAUAGGCGAAGCGUGCUAUUGGAUUGCACGUCCAAGCAGUAAGACUGAGUAGGUAGUCAAGAUGAGAAUUCUAAGGUGAGCGAGCGAACUCUCGUUAAGGAACUCGGCAAAAUGACCCCGUAACUUCGGGAGAAGGGGUGCUCUUUAGGGUUAACGCCCAGAAGAGCCGCAGUGAAUAGGCCCAAGCGACUGUUUAUCAAAAACACAGGUCUCUGCUAAACCGUAAGGUGAUGUAUAGGGGCUGACGCCUGCCCGGUGCUGGAAGGUUAAGAGGAGUAGUUAGCUUCUGCGAAGCUACGAAUCGAAGCCCCAGUAAACGGCGGCCGUAACUAUAACGGUCCUAAGGUAGCGAAAUUCCUUGUCGGGUAAGUUCCGACCCGCACGAAAGGCGUAACGAUUUGGGCACUGUCUCAACGAGAGACUCGGUGAAAUCAUAGUACCUGUGAAGAUGCAGGUUACCCGCGACAGGACGGAAAGACCCCGUGGAGCUUUACUGUAGCCUGAUAUUGAAAUUCGGCACAGCUUGUACAGGAUAGGUAGGAGCCUUUGAAACGUGAGCGCUAGCUUACGUGGAGGCAUUGGUGGGAUACUACCCUAGCUGUGUUGGCUUUCUAACCCGCACCACUUAUCGUGGUGGGAGACAGUGUCAGGUGGGCAGUUUGACUGGGGCGGUCGCCUCCUAAAAGGUAACGGAGGCGCUCAAAGGUUCCCUCAGAAUGGUUGGAAAUCAUUCAUAGAGUGUAAAGGCAUAAGGGAGCUUGACUGCGAGACUUACAAGUCGAGCAGGGUCGAAAGACGGACUUAGUGAUCCGGUGGUUCCGCAUGGAAGGGCCAUCGCUCAACGGAUAAAAGCUACCCCGGGGAUAACAGGCUUAUCUCCCCCAAGAGUUCACAUCGACGGGGAGGUUUGGCACCUCGAUGUCGGCUCAUCGCAUCCUGGGGCUGUAGUCGGUCCCAAGGGUUGGGCUGUUCGCCCAUUAAAGCGGUACGCGAGCUGGGUUCAGAACGUCGUGAGACAGUUCGGUCCCUAUCCGUCGUGGGCGUAGGAAAUUUGAGAGGAGCUGUCCUUAGUACGAGAGGACCGGGAUGGACAUACCUCUGGUGUACCAGUUGUCGUGCCAACGGCAUAGCUGGGUAGCUAUGUAUGGACGGGAUAAGUGCUGAAAGCAUCUAAGCAUGAAGCCCCCCUCAAGAUGAGAUUUCCCAACUUCGGUUAUAAGAUCCCUCAAAGAUGAUGAGGUUAAUAGGUUCGAGGUGGAAGCGUGGUGACACGUGGAGCUGACGAAUACUAAUCGAUCGAAGACUUAAUCAAUUU
Molecule: ribosomal RNA, 2784 nt
Filed under: Staphylococcus pasteuri
Lineage: Bacteria; Bacillati; Bacillota; Bacilli; Caryophanales; Staphylococcaceae
Description: bacterial LSU rRNA
Rfam family: Bacterial large subunit ribosomal RNA
Source: RNAcentral